GAUGAACGCUGGCGGCGUGCUUAACACAUGCAAGUCGAACGGAAAGGCUCCUGCUUGCAGGGGUACUCGAGUGGCGAACGGGUGAGUAACACGUGGGUGAUCUGCCCUGCACUUCGGGAUAAGCCUGGGAAACUGGGUCUAAUACCGGAUAGGACCACAUUUUGGAUGGUGUGGUAGAAAGUUUUUCGGUGUGGGAUGAGCUCGCGGCCUAUCAGCUUGUUGGUGGGGUAAUGGCCUACCAAGGCGUCGACGGGUAGCCGGCCUGAGAGGGUGUACGGCCACAUUGGGACUGAGAUACGGCCCAGACUCCUACGGGAGGCAGCAGUGGGGAAUAUUGCACAAUGGGCGCAAGCCUGAUGCAGCGACGCCGCGUGGGGGAUGACGGCCUUCGGGUUGUAAACUCCUUUCGCUAGGGACGAAGCGUUUUUGUGACGGUACCUGGAGAAGAAGCACCGGCUAACUACGUG
RNAcentral lists this ribosomal RNA (467 nucleotides) under uncultured bacterium. Its description in RNAcentral is "partial 16S ribosomal RNA". It matches the Rfam family "Bacterial small subunit ribosomal RNA", at positions 28 to 507 of the family's 1533-position model. The record is from RNAcentral.